Molecule: ribosomal RNA, 636 nt
Filed under: Trichoderma harzianum
Lineage: Eukaryota; Fungi; Ascomycota; Sordariomycetes; Hypocreales; Hypocreaceae
Description: eukaryotic LSU rRNA
Rfam family: 5.8S ribosomal RNA (bases 256-409)
Source: RNAcentral
UGGAAGUAAAAGUCGUAACAAGGUCUCCGUUGGUGAACCAGCGGAGGGAUCAUUACCGAGUUUACAACUCCCAAACCCAAUGUGAACGUUACCAAACUGUUGCCUCGGCGGGAUCUCUGCCCCGGGUGCGUCGCAGCCCCGGACCAAGGCGCCCGCCGGAGGACCAACCAAAACUCUUAUUGUAUACCCCCUCGCGGGUUUUUUAUAAUCUGAGCCUUCUCGGCGCCUCUCGUAGGCGUUUCGAAAAUGAAUCAAAACUUUCAACAACGGAUCUCUUGGUUCUGGCAUCGAUGAAGAACGCAGCGAAAUGCGAUAAGUAAUGUGAAUUGCAGAAUUCAGUGAAUCAUCGAAUCUUUGAACGCACAUUGCGCCCGCCAGUAUUCUGGCGGGCAUGCCUGUCCGAGCGUCAUUUCAACCCUCGAACCCCUCCGGGGGGUCGGCGUUGGGGAUCGGCCCUCCUCUAGCGGGGGCCGUCUCCGAAAUACAGUGGCGGUCUCGCCGCAGCCUCUCCUGCGCAGUAGUUUGCACACUCGCAUCGGGAGCGCGGCGCGUCCACAGCCGUUAAACACCCAACUUCUGAAAUGUUGACCUCGGAUCAGGUAGGAAUACCCGCUGGACUUAAGCAUAUCAAUAAGC